Non-coding RNA from Rattus norvegicus (Norway rat), 763 nucleotides. The record is from RefSeq and is a predicted model, not a curated record. NCBI's taxonomy places the organism in Eukaryota, Metazoa, Chordata, Mammalia, Rodentia, Muridae.
AGUAUGUUACUAGAGAGUGUCAAUAUACUUCAUUCCCAAAUAAGCUUGUCAUAUAAUUAUUCUAAGCUUUUUCUUCCAUGAUUCUUUAAUUUCAUGUAUCUGGUCAUCAUAUGGGGUUGCUAUGGCAACUUCUCUAUACCCUUUAUCACGGGGUUACGUGACCAUUAAUGAUUGUCAAUAGCAUAUUUGGGUUGAAGUAGAAUAUCAAAGAUAGAAAUCUUAUGUAGAUGGAGAUAAAUAUAGGGUUAUUUAAUGUUUAAUCCCAAGGGAAGAGAACUUGACUACUUCAGAAGUGAUAGCAUCGACUUUGACCUUCUGACCCUCUGCUGUUAUAUAAUUCAGGCCAAGUUGGCUCCUCAUCUUUGUAUAUAAAAUCAUCUCCUCCUCCAGAGACUCCAGCUGGAAGCUCGGCACUGGUGCAUCUGCUUUCUGUGAAAUAUCCUGGACAUCUUUUGCUUUUGGCUAGGCCGAUGCAGGCUAAGAUGCCCUCAAAAGCCACGGGGAGUGAGAGUGUGAUACUUACAGUUGCCAUGCGAAAUACUGAUCGGCUCAGAAUCUUCUGGGAAACCAGCCCCAGCGCAGCGUAGCAGUGUGAGACACAGCAGUAAGGCUGCUGGCCUCAUAGUAGGUUCAGCGGAGAGGCUUACUUCUCUACUUCACCCUGCCAAAGAGCAAAGGAGCCUGCUUACUUUUCAUUUCUCUUUUGCAAGUCAGCUUCAUUCAGUUCAAUAAAAUGCAAUGGUCUUAAGAUAACUCAAGACAA